This 320-nucleotide ribosomal RNA is filed under the name uncultured eukaryote. RNAcentral describes it as "partial 18S ribosomal RNA". It matches the Rfam family "Eukaryotic small subunit ribosomal RNA", at positions 1470 to 1796 of the family's 1831-position model. The record is from RNAcentral.
CCCCUAGAUGUUCUGGGCCGCACGCGCGCUACACUGAACAGUUCAACAAGUCUUAACCUUGGCCGAUAGGUCUGGGUAAUCUUUGAACGCUGUUCGUGAUUGGGAUAGACCUUUGCAAUUAUGGGUCUUCAACGUGGAAUUCCUAGUAAACGCAAGUCAUCAGCUUGCAUUGAUUACGUCCCUGCCCUUUGUACACACCGCCCGUCGCACCUACCGAUUGAAUGGUCCGGUGAAAUCUCGGGACGGCGGCUUGGUCGCUUGCGUCCGACUGCUGAAACUUGAUUAAACCAUAUCAUUUAGAGGAAGGUGAANUCGUANCA